Molecule: long non-coding RNA, 1269 nt
Organism: Puntigrus tetrazona (Sumatra barb)
Lineage: Eukaryota; Metazoa; Chordata; Actinopteri; Cypriniformes; Cyprinidae
Exons: 3
Source: RefSeq, a predicted model, not a curated record
UUCAAUCGGUCUCUGUUGUAACACAGAGCUUCAAAGUGUUUCCUCACACUCUCCCUCCUCUAAAGUCGAAACUGGAGCUAAAGAAGCUGGACUAUAUAGUUCACAUACAUAAUUGACAAUAAGAGGAAGCUUGGAUGGGAAGUCGUCUCGAAUCAGGUUGUGACAACGACAUGUGACAUCUUUGUCAAAGGACACUUGACUGAGACAUAUCUGGUUAUUAAAUACCUUAGGAUCUCUGGUGAACCUGAGGAAUUUCGGACCCCUCUUCCCUCGAGAUCAAGUCUGGGCGAGUAAAGAUGUGUGCAAACGAACUAAAAGAGGUGAGAGUUGAGGAUGCUUUACUUGAACAUCCUGCGCAGAGGGCUGUCUCCUGUCAUGACCUCUGUAAGGACACGGAUCAUCGCAAACUAGCCAUUUGCAGCAUCAUAUGUGGCCUCUCCUGCUUAGGAAUUAUGUCCCUCAAGUACUCUGUCAAGGCUCGAGAGACAAGAAAACAACUUCAAAAUGAAGAUUGUCCAGCAACAAGAGAGAAGGCCAAAAAAUACUCCAAAAAGGCGUGUAAAUGGGGAAUAUGCUCCAUUGUGGCCUGGGUGGUUUUAAUUCUCAUCUUUCCUUUGCUUCUGGGAUUUGUGUCCUUUGUUGUAACCUUCAUAGACUAAUACUGAGGAGGCCUUUCUCCAGUUAAACGAGCUACCAAAGCAGAGUUGUAGAAGCACAGAAACACUCUUUCAGUGCUCACGUUGGACACCGCACCUAGACCAUCCAAAAAUGUAACUUUAUGACAACAGGUUGGACAUUAAUCAUUAUUUAAAUUAUGUUUCCAAGGGUGCUUGUCCUUAGAUUGGAUCAAAGGCCAACAACUUGCUACCUAUAACAAAGAGGAUUCAACAGUUUGCACAAAGGACUAAAAAUAGCUUUCAUGUAUUUUCGUAGUAGUGAAAUCACUGCAAUUAAACAUUUAAAAUGGCACUUAAAACACAGCAACUUUCUGGAAUUUGUUAUAUCCAUGAGAUAAUCAGCACUGUGCAGACAGAAGCUACUUUUACACUUCAGCAAGCCGAGUUUAUUUAUGGUCUUAAACUGGAAACGAGACACUGAGACACUUGCAGAGAGCAUGAAAGUCAAACGUUGAGAUAUGGAUGUGGUUACAUUAUUAACAUUCUGUUCUUGUAAAUACGUUGAACUGUUGCAAUACCUUGUGCUUUUUUUAAAGUUUUAUACACCGUAUGUAUUUUAGAGUUUGUAAUAAAAUGUGUAACAGUCAAAAUG